RNAcentral lists this ribosomal RNA (666 nucleotides) under Triticum aestivum (bread wheat). RNAcentral describes it as "partial small subunit ribosomal RNA". The record is from RNAcentral. Lineage: Eukaryota; Viridiplantae; Streptophyta; Magnoliopsida; Poales; Poaceae.
AUGGAAGAUACAAGAACUGCUAAUGGGCGUUCAAGGUCUUGGGGUGGGCAAUUGGUAACUUAUAACCAUCAUUUCAGAAAUGAAAUAUUCAAUGUGUUGCAUGAUCAACUUAUUGUGGAGUUAAACAACCGCUUUGCUGAAAUGUCUACUCAAUUGUUAAGAUGCAUUGCUUGUCUUGAUCCCAAGAAUUCAUUUGCCAAUUAUAUUGAAGACAAGCUAGUAGAUCUUGCUAAUAUGUAUUCUGCUGAUUUCUCCACAUAUGAAGUUGCUUUUGUCCUUAGAAACCAACUAGACUCAUUCAUUCGGGAAGCAAGAGCUGAUCCACAUUUGAUGAAUUGCAAUGACCUUGGUCAUCUUGCCAUAAAUAUGGUUACAAGUGAUAUGCACACAACUUUUCCCUUGGUUUACCGUCUUGUUGAGUUAGCAUUGAUUUUACCUGUUGCAACUGCAAUAGUGGAAAGGGCAUUCUCAGCAAUGAGCAUUAUCAAGACUGGAUUGAGAAACAAAAUGGGUGAUGAUUGGAUGAAUCAUAGAAUGGUAUGUUACAUUGAGCGAGAUGUAUUUGUGAGUGUAAAGAAUCAAAGAUCAUUGAGCGAUUUCAAGGUUAUCGCAAUCGCAAAUGCCUUUUGCCUUGUCCUAGAUCUUCUUCUGCUAUUGAAGAUGUAG